GAUGAACGCUGGCGGCGUGCCUAAUACAUGCAAGUCGAGCGAACGGACGAGAAGCUUGCUUCUCUGAUGUUAGCGUCGGACGGGUGAGUAACACGUGGAUAACCUACCUAUAAGACUGGGAUAACUUCGGGAAACCGUAGCUAAUACCGGAUAAUAUUUUGAACCGCAUGGUUCAAAAGUGAAAGACGGUCUUGCUGUCACUUAUAGAUGGAUCCGCGCUGCAUUAGCUAGUUGGUAAGGUAACGGCUUACCAAGGCAACGAUGCAUAGCCGACCUGAGAGGGUGAUCGGCCACACUGGAACUGAGACACGGUCCAGACUCCUACGGGAGGCAGCAGUAGGGAAUCUUCCGCAAUGGGCGAAAGCCUGACGGAGCAACGCCGCGUGAGUGAUGAAGGUCUUCGGAUCGUAAAACUCUGUUAUUAGGGAAGAACAUAUGUGUAAGUAACUGUGCACAUCUUGACGGUACCUAAUCAGAAAGCCACGGCUAACUACGUG
This 497-nucleotide ribosomal RNA is filed under the name uncultured bacterium. RNAcentral's name for it is "partial 16S ribosomal RNA". It matches the Rfam family "Bacterial small subunit ribosomal RNA", at positions 28 to 507 of the family's 1533-position model. The record is from RNAcentral.